RNAcentral lists this long non-coding RNA (1031 nucleotides) under Hordeum vulgare. RNAcentral describes it as "long non-coding RNA (HVUL_LNC008244)". The record is from RNAcentral. Lineage: Eukaryota; Viridiplantae; Streptophyta; Magnoliopsida; Poales; Poaceae.
GUAAAUUGCAUUGUAUAGUUGGCGAAGUCACUUGUCACUUGCCUUCACAAGCAAGAAGAAGGCACAAGGUUCCUCUCAAAAGCAGGAAGAUAAAAUGGAAGAAAGGAGCACUCUGACCUGGCUCAUCGAGUUUUCAACGAUCAAAAUAUGCAAAUAGCAAUACUAUCGAAGAAAGGUAUAUAUACAUCCAAGAAGAACAGUAAAUGGAUCUUCAUCUCGCUCAAAACCGAUCACUAAUGCACAUGCAAAGAGCAAUACAUCCAAGAAGAACAAUAUCUUCAUGCCCUCCAGUAAAUGGAUCUUCAUCUCGGUCAAUUCUCCUUCCAUGCAGAUGCACAUCGACCCCUCAAAUAAUUCUCUGAAAGAACCAACCCCGAUAAUCAACGCGAUCGAGGAUCUGAUGCACAAGCUUACUUACUGGCCUACUGCAGCUUAAAUGGUCAAGGGCGCGCGCGAACUGCGCGUCGAUCGAUCUCCUCAAUGGCGCCAUGUCCUUCCCUCGCUGCAUCCGCGAGCGACGACCACAGCGCGCCACCGUCAAUUCAGCGCGGGAAGAGGUCAGACCAGGGCGCUCCGCGGGCGGCGGCCACGUCGCGGUUGGGGACGAGGAAGGCGAGGGCGAGCAGCGCGAGCAUGAGCGCCACGGGGACGAGCAGAAGCAGCCACGGCGGCGGCGGCAGUGGGGGCAACAGCAGCGGGAGCAGCAGGAGCGCCGCCGCCGCCCCCGCCACGAGAAGCGUCGUCGUCGCCACGCUCCCUUCCAUGUCCGGAGCUUGCUCGCGAGCUCGCUGCCUGUGUGACGAGAGCUUGACAAAGCUAGAUAGCAGCUAGAGGGGCGUGUGGCUGGCUGAUUCUUGGUGCGCGCGUCUCCUAAGAUGGAGUGGCACACACACACACACAAAGCUUCUUGCCGAUCUAGGAUGCUACAGGAGAACACAUUAACGACAGAGCUGGAUCGUGCACACGUCGCCCUCAGUAUGACGAAUUAUCCAACCUACCUGCGUAUACGUACCGUGCAUGAUGACUGCAAG